RNAcentral lists this ribosomal RNA (397 nucleotides) under uncultured bacterium. RNAcentral's name for it is "partial 16S ribosomal RNA". It matches the Rfam family "Bacterial small subunit ribosomal RNA", at positions 355 to 759 of the family's 1533-position model. The record is from RNAcentral.
UGGGGAAUAUUGCACAAUGGGCGAAAGCCUGAUGCAGCAACGCCGCGUGAGGGACGACGGGCCUUCGGGUUGUAAACCUCUUUUAGCAAGGAAGAAGCGAAAGUGACGGUACUUGCAGAAAAAGCGCCGGCUAACUACGUGCCAGCAGCCGCGGUAAUACGUAGGGCGCAAGCGUUAUCCGGAAAUUUAUGGGCGUAAAGAGCUCGUAGGCGGUUUUGUCGCGUCUGCUGUGAAAACCCGAGGCUCAACCUCGGGCCCUGCAGUGGGUACGGGCAGACUAGAGUGCGGUAGGGGAGAUUGGAACUCCUGGUGUAGCGGUGGAAUGCGUAGAUAUCAGGAAGAACACCGAUGGCGAAGGCAGAUCUCUGGGCCGUAACUGACGGCUGAGGAGCGAAAA